Oncorhynchus tshawytscha (Chinook salmon) is the source of this 488-nucleotide long non-coding RNA. RefSeq lists it as uncharacterized. The transcript has 3 exons. Lineage: Eukaryota; Metazoa; Chordata; Actinopteri; Salmoniformes; Salmonidae. The record is from RefSeq and is a predicted model, not a curated record.
UACGGGAGUUGCAGCGAUGGGCAAAGAUUGUAACUACCUAUUGGAUACCACGAAAUUGGGGUAAAAAUUACAAAUGUAAAUGAGUCCAAAUAGUCAGUACCUGAUUCCGUUUCCUUCCUUCUGUUUGGUGCCUAAUGAAGACAACCCUACUUGAUCACAAUGGCAUCAUGGUCUCAAUAUCUUGAGCAACAUGGCCACCAAUGGCGACUUUCCUAAAAUGUGGGACAAAUUCGCUCCGAGGAAAGAGCGAGAAUCCUUGAGGGAGGUCAUCUCAAAGGUUAACCUCAAAGAAAGGAAUAUCUGAAUAAUCCCCAAUUUUACGAUAAAUUUGUAUCUAAAUAUUUGCACAUUUCCCAACUUGACUAUUAUCCCCUCCAGUCCCCAAACUCCAAUAUUUUCGCUCAUUCUAAGAAAUUUGACACCCUCCUCCAAACCCCGAUGUAAAUGCAUCUUUAAACUGCAUUGACUCCUUGUCCAAGUCCUGAAUC